UUUAUGGAGAGUUUGAUCCUGGCUCAGAGUGAACGCUGGCGGCGUGCCUAAUACAUGCAAGUCGAACGAUGAAGCUUCUAGCUUGCUAGAAUGCUGAUUAGUGGCGCACGGGUGAGUAACGCAUAGGUCAUGUGCCUCUUAGUUUGGGAUAGCCAUUGGAAACGAUGAUUAAUACCAGAUACUCCCUACGGGGGAAAGAUUUAUCGCUAAGAGAUCAGCCUAUGUCCUAUCAGCUUGUUGGUAAGGUAAUGGCUUACCAAGGCUAUGACGGGUAUCCGGCCUGAGAGGGUGAACGGACACACUGGAACUGAGACACGGUCCAGACUCCUACGGGAGGCAGCAGUAGGGAAUAUUGCUCAAUGGGGGAAACCCUGAAGCAGCAACGCCGCGUGGAGGAUGAAGGUUUUAGGAUUGUAAACUCCUUUUGUUAGAGAAGAUAAUGACGGUAUCUAACGAAUAAGCACCGGCUAACUCCGUGCCAGCAGCCGCGGUAAUACGGAGGGUGCAAGCGUUACUCGGAAUCACUGGGCGUAAAGAGCGCGUAGGCGGGAUAGUCAGUCAGGUGUGAAAUCCUAUGGCUUAACCAUAGAACUGCAUUUGAAACUACUAUUCUAGAGUGUGGGAGAGGUAGGUGGAAUUCUUGGUGUAGGGGUAAAAUCCGUAGAGAUCAAGAGGAAUACUCAUUGCGAAGGCGACCUGCUGGAACAUUACUGACGCUGAUUGCGCGAAAGCGUGGGGAGCAAACAGGAUUAGAUACCCUGGUAGUCCACGCCCUAAACGAUGGAUGCUAGUUGUUGGAGGGCUUAGUCUCUCCAGUAAUGCAGCUAACGCAUUAAGCAUCCCGCCUGGGGAGUACGGUCGCAAGAUUAAAACUCAAAGGAAUAGACGGGGACCCGCACAAGCGGUGGAGCAUGUGGUUUAAUUCGAAGAUACACGAAGAACCUUACCUAGGCUUGACAUUGAGAGAAUCCGCUAGAAAUAGUGGAGUGUCUAGCUUGCUAGACCUUGAAAACAGGUGCUGCACGGCUGUCGUCAGCUCGUGUCGUGAGAUGUUGGGUUAAGUCCCGCAACGAGCGCAACCCCCUUUCUUAGUUGCUAACAGGUUAUGCUGAGAACUCUAAGGAUACUGCCUCCGUAAGGAGGAGGAAGGUGGGGACGACGUCAAGUCAUCAUGGCCCUUACGCCUAGGGCUACACACGUGCUACAAUGGGGUGCACAAAGAGAAGCAAUACUGCGAAGUGGAGCCAAUCUUCAAAACACCUCUCAGUUCGGAUUGUAGGCUGCAACUCGCCUGCAUGAAGCUGGAAUCGCUAGUAAUCGCAAAUCAGCCAUGUUGCGGUGAAUACGUUCCCGGGUCUUGUACUCACCGCCCGUCACACCAUGGGAGUUGUGUUUGCCUUAAGUCAGGAUACUAAAUUGGCUACUGCCCACGGCACACACAGCGACUGGGGUGAAGUCGUAACAAGGUAACCGUAGGUGAACCUGCGGCUGGAUCACCUCCUU
This 1503-nucleotide ribosomal RNA is filed under the name Helicobacter pylori. Its description in RNAcentral is "bacterial SSU rRNA". It matches the Rfam family "Bacterial small subunit ribosomal RNA". The record is from RNAcentral. Lineage: Bacteria; Pseudomonadati; Campylobacterota; Epsilonproteobacteria; Campylobacterales; Helicobacteraceae.